This is a long non-coding RNA of Pseudoliparis swirei, 632 nucleotides long. RefSeq lists it as uncharacterized. The transcript has 5 exons. NCBI's taxonomy places the organism in Eukaryota, Metazoa, Chordata, Actinopteri, Perciformes, Liparidae. The record is from RefSeq and is a predicted model, not a curated record.
GCGAGAAGGCAGUGCAGGUGUGCGAGUUACUUUAAGGGUUUGAAAAACCUGGCAAUGAAUUAUUCUGGCUGAAUUCUGUCGCUUAUCAAGCAAAAAUCUGAGUUGCAAUCUGAGUUCUUCAAAGAUCUCGACAAAUACACUCCUCGCUUCCUGGAGAAGUUCAAGACCCAGAGGGGGAAAGUGUCGGACAGAAACUUGAAUAUCUGCAACAAGUCACACCUGGGAGUACAGAUGUGACUGGGAGGUGAACAGCAGUCCUCCGUGGCUCUCCCGUCAUCCUUGGAGAUGACAACGCAGACUUCUUCAAGAAUUUGUGUGAGUUUAGGAUGGCGUGAAGCUUCGACUUGACCCUAUGGAAACACAGCAGAUGCCACCAAAGGGUCCUGAUCGGGGUGUGUUGUGAUGCAACUGCAUCGACCUGUUCUCAGGCCCUUCUACAUUCUGUUGUUUACAUUUGCUCUAUUAUUGUUGUUCCAUUCAAAUAUCAUCCCUAUUUGUAAAUAUGAUAAUUCAUAUUCUUUAUUAUUAGCUUUUGCAAUCAUUCAGUGAAUCACAUGAUCAAUGAAUUAAUCAUCGCACUCACUCCUGAGCAUCUUUCACUUGAUUAUCUAAUAAUAUCAGAAUCCAGGUAA